This 23-nucleotide non-coding RNA is filed under the name Rattus norvegicus (Norway rat). The record is from RNAcentral. Lineage: Eukaryota; Metazoa; Chordata; Mammalia; Rodentia; Muridae.
AGUAUAUGUGAAGACGGCAAAGC